ACGGCCAGAGAUGGUCGCCCCCUUGUGGUUGGUGUACAGGUGGUGCAUGGUUGUCGUCAGCUCGUGUCGCGAGAUGUUGGGUUAAGUCCCGCAACGAGCGCAACCCUCGUUCUAUGUUGCCAGCGCGUUAUGGCGGGGACUCACAGGAGACUGCCGGGGUCAACUCGGAGGAAGGUGGGGAUGACGUCAAAUCAUCAUGCCCCUUAUGACCUGGGCUACACACGUGCUACAAUGGACGGUACAACGAGUCGCGAAACCGCGAGGUCAAGCUAAUCUCUUAAAGCCGUUCUCAGUUCGGAUUGUAGGCUGCAACUCGCCUACAUGAAGUUGGAAUCGCUAGUAAUCGUGGAUCAGCAUGCCACGGUGAAUACGUUCCCGGGUCUUGUACACACCGA
RNAcentral lists this ribosomal RNA (395 nucleotides) under uncultured bacterium. RNAcentral's name for it is "bacterial SSU rRNA". It matches the Rfam family "Bacterial small subunit ribosomal RNA", at positions 996 to 1393 of the family's 1533-position model. The record is from RNAcentral.